GGGUCUUGAGCAGUUGAAAGACAGAAUAGUCAGGUCAGGCGCUAUAUUUCUCGCUCUUUGAUCAACUAUUAUUCUGGAGUUUUUGUAAGAUUUUCAAAUAAAAUUUAGAGUUUCCUUGUAUGACCCUUUUAAAUCUCUUAUUUGUGGUAUUUGUGGAUCCUUACCAAGGCAUGAAUGAUUGCCUUCUCUCUUCUCUCAGAAUAUGUGGUAUUUGUGGAAAUAAGGCAUAGUAGCAUUAUGCCCUCUCUCUCUCACCCUACACCUAAUAGGCUUAUGUGGAGCUCAUAGGUGGGGAGACAGCUCAAACAUACUUGCAAACAUAUGUUGUAUAGUUAAACCGUGGAUCCAAAGAAACUAGUCAUACAAUCAUAUCAUACGUGCAUGUGAAUAAGAGGAGUGAAGCGAGUAAUAUAAAUGGUGAUGAUGAUCUAAUUCUACAUUUGCUCCUUGGUGAUAACUUACCUCCCAUAUUUGGAAUUGAAGACCUUGGAGGAACUUGGUUUGCUCUCUUACUUUUCUUUCUUGGGACAUUUGUCCUCUUUCUUUUUUUUCUUUCUCUCAUUUUUUUCUGAGAGCAACCAAGCCUCUUAGUAGAACUAUAUUGUUGGUACAAAAGCGGAUCUGCAAACACAAAGGGCUAAUACCCGAUUCAAACGUUAAGGCGUGCCAGCUGAUUUGACCUUACUAUCGGCAAAGGUGAUAACUCGAAUACUUUGGUCCCGACAACAGCGAUGCGCCCGGAUGUCACGGCCAAGAGGUAUUCACGCGGAACUUGAGAAUAUGCCGAACUUAAGUCGACGAACUCCUAAGAACUCGUAGUAAAAGGAAAAUAUGACGAAGUCAUCGAAGAAGUAGAUGCUGGAAUAUGAGUAAAAACUUGUGUUUGAUUGAUUGAUAGAUGUCUCCUUACAAGGCCCUAGGGUCUACAUUUAUACCCUGCUCAAAGAGCUACAAUCAGACACGACUAGGACUCG
Molecule: long non-coding RNA, 974 nt
Filed under: Sorghum bicolor (sorghum)
Lineage: Eukaryota; Viridiplantae; Streptophyta; Magnoliopsida; Poales; Poaceae
Description: long non-coding RNA (SBIC_LNC010180)
Source: RNAcentral